Molecule: non-coding RNA, 74 nt
Organism: Acanthoscelides obtectus
Lineage: Eukaryota; Metazoa; Arthropoda; Insecta; Coleoptera; Chrysomelidae
Source: the annotation of a GenBank genome assembly
AUUUGGGUAGCUCUGUGGUUAGCACGUUGAGCCAGCAACCCUAGGCUCGUGGGUUCGAAUCUCCGCCUCGGAAA